CUACGGGUCGCUCCAGUGGGGAAUAUUGCACAAUGGACGAAAGUCUGAUGCAGCAACGCCGCGUGGAGGAUGACACAUUUCGGUGCGUAAACUCCUUUUAUAUAGGAAGAUAAUGACGGUACUAUAUGAAUAAGCACCGGCUAACUCCGUGCCAGGCAGCCGCGGUAAUACGGAGGGUGCAAGCGUUACUCGGAAUCACUGGGCGUAAAGAGCGUGUAGGCGGGUAGUUAAGUCAGAAGUGAAAUCCAAUAGCUCAACUAUUGAACUGCUUUUGAAACUGAUUACCUAGAAUAUGGGAGAGGUAGAUGGAAUUUCUGGUGUAGGGGUAAAAUCCGUAGAGAUCAGAAGGAAUACCGAUUGCGAAGGCGAUCUACUGGAACAUUAUUGACGCUGAGACGCGAAAGCGUGGGGAGCAAACAGGAUUAGAUACCCGCGUAGUC
RNAcentral lists this ribosomal RNA (440 nucleotides) under uncultured bacterium. RNAcentral describes it as "partial 16S ribosomal RNA". It matches the Rfam family "Bacterial small subunit ribosomal RNA", at positions 339 to 795 of the family's 1533-position model. The record is from RNAcentral.